GUUGGGGACUCAUUAUUGUUUAAUAAAAUCACGAAUUUAAAAGAAAUUGAAAUGGAAGAUUUUGCCAACAUGUAAAUUAUUUGAUGUAAUAUUUUCCUUAUCCAGUUUUUCAGCUCUGGUCAUAAGUGCCGCCUGUAGCUUUGAAAUGUUAAUUACACCUUUUAACAAUUCAUGCAACAAAAUUUCACACUUUUACCAAUUUAUGCAACUCUUACAAAUUAUGCAGGCAGGUUUAAAUUGUUUAAAAAGGCUUUCAUAAGAUAAUUGCGUAUAUAGGUGUGACAUCAUAAAAAUAAUCGCAUCGAUCCUGUCAAUAAAAAAAACAUCAACGACGAUGAACUUAAUCAUCCAUAUAGCAUAACAACAUCCCAUAAUAUGCCAUAUGAAAUAUAACAAGAAAGUAUUUUAGAAAAUAGAUAUUAAAAAAAAAACUGUCGAUUACUUUAACCUAAGAAAUUUUCGUCAAAUUUUGGUAUCAUCCUGCAAACAUUAAUAGCCAAUGAACUUUAUAAAAUUUGACAACAUAACAUCUUGCACAACUUUUGAGCUCAACAAGCUUCGAUUAUAUAGACUUUGUCAAGCCUUCGAAUGUGCUUUAGUUCUUAAAAAUAUAUUAACCUAAGAAGAAAAAUAUUUGAAGUCAUUCAUCAAUCAAAACAUUAACAAAAUGCUAAAAGGAUAAAGGAGCCCUCAGAUCUCAUAGCUAUUGAUCAUGUAAGGAUUUACAAUUGGUAUUAACUAUUCAUCCAGAGUCAUUAACUUUACCACGAUAAAAACAUUUUUGUGUGAUUUGUGUGCUUGUGAAGAAAAAAAUUUAAAAUUCGUGGCAAAGAACAACAAUGGACGAAAAGAUAUACAAAAAUACCUAUUCAAGUAUAUGAUUUUCCAUCAUUGGGCAUUCUUUACAUUAUUCUACAAAAGCAAAACAACAAACAGAUUUUCUCAGGAUUUUAUUUCAAGAGUAGAAAAAGGUAAAAGGAAAGAAAGGAGAAUGAAACAUGAUUAAUUAACUAUAGUGAUGGUAAAAAUAUACAUCCCCUAUGAUUUCCAUAGUUUUUUUGAAUAAAAACCUACGGGAUUUAUCACAGAACGAAAAAGUUGAUAUUGGGGAAGCAUUCAUCCCAACAGGCAAUUGAAGAAAACUCCAAGCCAAUGAGUCAAAUUUGCUACCCUUUUUUUACUAAAAACGUUUUGUCGAUCAUAUGAACCAGAAAUGAAUAUGACAUUAAAUUAGUCUGUUGUUGUAAAACAAUGGAAUUGAAAAUCCAAAGCCUAUAUUGCAUUGGAAACAGAUACGUCAAAGCUUUGAUAUCAUCAGCACAAAUACCCAGUAAUCGUUAUUGGAAAAAACAGGGUUUGUUGAUUAUAAGAAGAAACAUAAAGAUAUAACGGCGAGCAUUCAGAAUGAGUAGGAGGUUUGAUAUUCCAUUCAUGAAUUAGUCGGAACACAUAAAACAAUCAUCACUAUGCUCGCAAAACUUCCAACCCAAAGUAACUUCUACGUACGAAUAAGAUAAAAUUGAAGUAAAAGUGAUUGUAAACCAUCAGAACUAUUGGAUCACUACAUCAAUUAAUCAAACCCUACGAAAAGGCGUGAUUCUCAGACGACCGUCGUGAGAUUAAAUCCAAAAUCUUCAUUUGGAUUGACAAUUCGUAAACUUAGAACGUAAAAUGAGAUUAACCAUAACAUACCUGACAGCCGUAAACCCUAGAAUCGGCGUUUGGAAGAGACGAUCUUCGUUUCAGUAAUGCAGACAGGUUUGGUUUCAGGCGCGGCGUAUAAAUAACGACGAGAUUGUUGAAUGUUGAUGUUAGGUUAAAAACCCUAGGCAGUUAUGAGUUAUGACUCGCAAGGCCCAAC
RNAcentral lists this long non-coding RNA (1861 nucleotides) under Lactuca sativa (garden lettuce). RNAcentral's name for it is "long non-coding RNA (LSAT_LNC007955)". The record is from RNAcentral. Lineage: Eukaryota; Viridiplantae; Streptophyta; Magnoliopsida; Asterales; Asteraceae.